CCUACGGGUGGCAGCAGUGGGGAAUAUUGGACAAUGGGCGAAAGCCUGAUCCAGCCAUGCCGCGUGUGUGAAGAAGGCCUUCGGGUUGUAAAGCACUUUCAGUGGGGAAGAAAGCCUUGGGGCUAAUACCCUCGAGGAAGGACAUCACCCACAGAAGAAGCACCGGCUAACUCCGUGCCAGCAGCCGCGGUAAUACGGAGGGUGCGAGCGUUAAUCGGAAUUACUGGGCGUAAGGCGCGCGUAGGCGGUCUGAUAAGCCGGUUGUGAAAGCCCCGGGCUCAACCUGGGAACGGCAUCCGGAACUGUCAGGCUAGAGUGCAGGAGAGGAAGGUAGAAUUCCCGGUGUAGCGGUGAAAUGCGUAGAGAUCGGGAGGAAUACCAGUGGCGAAGGCGGCCUUCUGGACUGACACUGACGCUGAGGUGCGAAAGCGUGGGUAGCAAACAGGAUUAGAUACCCGAGUAGUC
Molecule: ribosomal RNA, 465 nt
Filed under: Vreelandella stevensii
Lineage: Bacteria; Pseudomonadati; Pseudomonadota; Gammaproteobacteria; Oceanospirillales; Halomonadaceae
Description: partial 16S ribosomal RNA
Rfam family: Bacterial small subunit ribosomal RNA
Source: RNAcentral